GAUGAACGCUAGCGGCAGGCUUAAUACAUGCAAGUCGUGGGGCAGCAGGACUGUAGCAAUACUGUUGCUGGCGACCGGCAAACGGGUGCGGAACACGUACGCAACUUAUCCUGAACUGGGGGAUAGCCCGGGGAAACCCGCAGUAAUACCCCGUAAUAUACUGGAGUGGCAUCACUUUAUUAUUAAAGCUCCGGCGGUUCGGGAUGGGCGUGCGGCUGAUUGUGUAGUUGGUUGAGGUAACGGCUCACCAAGCCUACGAUCAGUAACUGGUGUGGGAGCACGGCCCGUCACGGGGGAACGGCGACACUGGCCCGACUCCUACGGGAGGCAGCAGUAAGGAAUAAGGGGCAAUGAAGGCUACUCUAACCGAGCCAUGCCGCGGGGAGGAUGAAGGGCGUCUGGGUUGUAAACUUCUUUUAUAGGGGACGAAACCUGUGUAUUCUUACGCAGUUGACGGUACCCUAGGAAUAAGCACCGGCUAACUACGUG
This 489-nucleotide ribosomal RNA is filed under the name uncultured bacterium. RNAcentral's name for it is "partial 16S ribosomal RNA". It matches the Rfam family "Bacterial small subunit ribosomal RNA", at positions 28 to 507 of the family's 1533-position model. The record is from RNAcentral.